GCCCUCGCCUCCAAUCCCCGGUGUUUGCCCUAAUUUCCUGAUCCAGGGAACCUGCCGCCGCAGCAGCUGUGCGCUCCCUACAGUCAUUACUGUACCUCCCGGCCGCCGCCAACAGUAAAUGCAGCAGCGGCGGCAGCAGCAGUUAACGCUGAUGCAACUAUUGCUGCUCUUGCCACCGCCUUCCCACUAGUGGGGCUUGCAGCCCGGGGGACUUGUCGCUUCCAGGGGCAACAAACAUCUCUCUACCACCCUCCCCUGCGCCCCAGAGAGGCUGGUAUUGUGAGGCUGCCUCACCAUAGGAAGUAAGAAGUGGAAUGAAGUGUCCCCUUCUCAAGUAUUUUGAUGGUGACUUCCCAGGCUUCCACUGCAUCAUUUUCUGAUUGUGUGACAGCCCAGUGAAAUGAAUGGGUUCACCCCACUCCAGGCUCUGUGGGUAGGGCCUGCUGGUGUAAACCAGAGGGUCACAAACUUGAGCUUCCAUCAGAAUCCUUUGGAGAGCUUGUUAAAUCACAGAUUGCUAGGCCCCACCCCAGAGUUUCUGAUUCAGCAGGUCUGGAGUGGGUUCCUCACAGGUUCCCAGGUGAUGCUGAUGCUGCUGGUCAGGGAACACACUUUGAGAACCACUAUUCUAAACCCAUCAGCAUAACUUCCCCCUCAGCCACUGUGAUUGAUUCAAGCGCCUCACCCAGUCAGCCUAUGGCCUUCUCCUGGCCACAGUGACCGGAUGCUUCAGCCCUAAGCGCAUUACUCAAGUCCAUCCAGUUAUAAUGAAGCUCAGGACUUCUGUGUGGUUAGAAAGACACUCUCCUCUAAGCAGUGUGCUUCAUGGAUGUUAGGCCAGAACUGCUGUAACUAUUGUGCCACCAUGAAGGAAGCCAAUCUGAAGACCAACUGACUCUUGAAGAGGCUGAGAACCAGAGAAAAGGCACCGAAACUUGACCUCGAGCCAGAGCCCAGGCCCCAUGGUUGAUACAGAAGACUGUCAUAUGACCCAGUGAGAGUAACUGAAAUCAAAGAAAGGGCUCCAGUGUCUAGUCAAGGACAUGCCACAGGGUCGAGAAGGAGCAGAAGUUUCAACAGCAGGGCAAGAGACAAGCUGUGUGUGGACAGGUAGCAGUAUGGGAAAUAUUUAACUCCCUGUGGUGAUUAUGGGCCCAAGGAGCUCGUGAAGCACAGAGCGCCAACUUAAGGAUCUUGUGUUAUAAUUUUUCAAAGACUGCACAGCAGGUACACCAGCCAUACAACUAACAUAAGUCAGUUGUUAUGUUUCUAGACUAUUACACACUUUGUCGAUUAGCAGCUUGGGGUUCCUUCUGCUGAAUUUCUUGAGAAAACCUCCAGAAGUCGGCAGUAGCUCUCAGACUGAGGCGGCUCUCGAGCCUCACCCCCUCCAACCGCAGAAAGCAUUGGCUUACCCGCCUGAAGAGCUAAAGCUGACCUGGAAGUCAUGCUUAGAGGAGAAAAAGAAGUCAGAGUCUCUUAUGUAACUUGAAGAGUAUAAAGGAUCCAAUGAUAAAAACCACUGCCCGGAACUUUUCCAAAGCACAAUAAAUCUCUCUGCAUAAGAGUCUCCAGUUGUUGCUAAGAUUAUCUGUCUACUGACCUUUCCGUGGCUCAGCAUUUUGUUGCAGUGCAUGAGCUAACUUGGAAAACAGAGCCAAGUGACAAGCUGUGAAGCAACGGCUCAGCCUCGCAGAAUCAUGAAUGGGGAGCCAUGUGGGAAGAAGACUGGAUUGGGAAUCAGUCAGGAUCCUGCGCUGGGUUUCUCCCAGAUUAUCCCACCAAUCAGCCAUCUGGUCUCAGGUUACGCCACAGUCGGUGAAAGAGUAGCAGCAAACGAUGACUGAAAACCUAAGUGGAUGGAGAAGCUGCAGAGUGAGAGGGCAUCUUCCAGGGGGAAUACAAGGCUUUCUCUUGACUUCUUUGCAUUGUUCUAAUGCCUUUGAUUUUGGAAAUGCUACCAGAAUGAUGGCUGCAUUUUUAGUGGUGGAAAUUAUUGUUACAUCUCAGAAGCAAGGAAUCAGAAUACCUACUUUCUAGUGGUGAUGUAUGACUCUCAUAAAAUCCACACCAUUAUUUAUAAUACCCUAGUGAAUAUUUUCAUAGAAAUGGAACAUAGAUUCCUAACAUUUCCUGCGAUUUCCAAAAAGAAAGGAAAGAAAAAAAGAAUUUGACUAAAUGCCCAUUUGUUAGCCCAGCAUGGGAAGGGACCAGCUUUAAAGAAUAAUUGGUGACUCCUUAAAAAACAUUUGAAUAUGACAAAAGCUGGCAAAAAAGAUGAGGGAAGAAAGGAUGACACGUUUUUGUUACGAGGUUUGAAUUUAUCUUAGCAUGAUCAGUUGGCUGUUGGGGAACUGUGCCCCCCUGUGAAUUGCAUGCUUCAGUUAUGUCAUUGGCUCUGGUGACUCACAGAGAGGAUAAUCCAGUUCUCCAAAUAAAGAAGUGUCUGAAAACAAAGAAUAAAGAGAAGUUGCAUUUUGGAAGCACGCUCGUUCAUAAAACUGUCAAGGUAGUCAAAACACAUUGCCCAGGUCCAAGGAGAAGAAAAAUAGACUGUACCUCUCGAUGGGCAAGUAGCAAAUUUUGCAAGAACGUGUGGGACCAGAAAUGUUAACAUGGUCAUUUAUGGAAAAUACAACCUGCCACAAUAAGUCCUCUUCUUUCUGAUAUCAUCUGCACCACAUAUCUGCAGAGCAAAUAUGGAAAAUUAGCCAGGUCCUGUCAACUGUCCAGCUGAAUAACUAAUAAAAGCCAUGAAACCUCAGAAGACAAAUCUGGCUGAUCAUCAGAAUCACCUGAGAAGCAUAUUAAAAUACAACAUUAUGGUUUUACCCCAGAUGCUCUGGAUGGUGUUCAGGGAUCUGCAUUUAAAGAAACUUCUCAGGUCAUCAGGGGAUCCAUGCUGAAUGGUGCUGGAAGAUGAUCCCAAAAGAAGAAGGCAAAGGAGUUAGUACAAACAUCUGUGACCUCAUAAUUCGAUUUCUAUUUCUGUCUUCUCCGAUAUAUGUAUGAUUAGCAUCAGAGGACACGUCGUCCUGCCUCCUACCUCCAGAAUCUCGUGUGUGUUUGAUGAGAAGAGUGAAUGGCCCACAUUUGAGAGCAUUUGGCAAGACAUGAUUCCUAUCUUACUUGAUAUUUCAUAUUAAAUACAAAAAGACACCUUAACCCACCAGUACCAGAAAUUUAGUCUACUUUGCUUUUAUGGACAUCUGUUCUCAGAGUACUGGUUGUCUAUCGAACUGCUAUAAUAAAGGUUAAUUCUACAUUAAAGUAAUUGUGUGUAUAAUUAGAAUACUUACAAUAGCCAUACUUUUUGAACUGGUAGCACCACUUCUAGCAAUCUAUCUAAAUACCUCAAACACAAAAUAUCUUUAUACUCAAAGAUGUUCAUUCCAGCAUUAUAUACAUAUAGGUGAAAACUUGGAAGUCUCCAGAAGGGAUGGAGGGCAGUGAGAUCUUGGCAUGUUGUUCCAGUCACGUGUAGUAAUGUAUUUGACUUUCUGGCUUGAACUGUUUACAUAUAUACUUUGCUUUUCCCCUUUCAAUAGGGAAUGCUUAGAUAAAUAGUGGCAUAUCCACAUGACAGAACUAGGCCAGUAUAAAAAUUAUGUUUUGAACAGAUAGUUCACAAAAUAAAAAAAAGUACCAUAAACACAAAUAUUUAACCCCAUCAGUAAUAAAGGGAAGAAUAAGAUUCCAAUUUCAACAAAUUUUAACAAAUAGUUUAAAAAAAGGUUGAUAAUGCCUAGUGUUGGUGAAAUUGUGGAGAAACGGGCACCACUUUGCUGUUGUUAGUAUAAGUUGGUACAUACUUUCUAGGUAGAAAUUUGGUAAUAUGUAACCAAAGUCUGAAAAAUUUGUGUAGAUUUUUUUUUUGUUCAGCAAUUCUAUGUAUUUUUUGAAAAUAUAAACAAUGCUAUACUUGUUCAAUUUAUGAAAAUUUGCGAACUUGUGUCCAAAAAUAGGAAUUAUUUAAAUAAAAUAUGGGACUAUACAAUGGAAUACAGUUAGGAAAGAUAUUCAUAAUAUGUAGGUAAUAAUUUAGAAGUUGCAAAAUAGAGGGUAAAAUAAAACAAUUUUGGUAAACCGUAUAUAAGAACACACAAGAUGUCAAGAAAAAAAUGUGCUAAGAAUUGAUAAUGAGUAUCUCUGGGUCGUGGGGCCUUUUGGUGGUUUUGCUUUUCUUUUUUGCAUAGUAUUUUCCAUAAAUUUUGCAACAAAUGUGAACUUUUUGUAUAAAAGUAAGAAAAUUAUGGUCAUAAAAAUGUUUAAGCAAUAUGAGAUAAUGCCAAUUAUGACAAAAAAUGAAGGCUGCCUUGUGAUUACAAGUAUGUAGAAAUGUGUACCUUAAAAGAAGAAAAGAUGGAAGGAUGAGGGAAGAAAGGGGAGACAGAAGGAGGAAAAAUCUCUCCUAACGGCGGUUUUCUUUGGCCAGCAGACUGUGGGACAAAUGUAUUCUACUUUUAUGAAUUUUUCAUACUUUCUAAUAUAUUACCAAUUUUAUACGUAGAAGAACUAGAAGGAAAUUUAAUAAAGUCAUUAGCAUCUUUCCAUCAUAUUUUAUUUUAAUCACCUCUCUGCUGUAUCAAGUAUCCAUACUGAGUUUUAGCACCAAGUUUCUGGGCUCCAACCAGCCCACCGUAUUAGGUAAGUUUACAUAAAAUAUUACUACUGACUUGAUGAUUUCAAUCAGUGAAAACAUAGGAGGCUUGGAGACUUUUCUAUUAUCCUCUCAUGGGUCUUGCAGGGAGCUUGGUGGGAUUAGAAUUUGCUCGUCUCCGCUCAGCAUUCCAUGUUGGUCACC
Long non-coding RNA from Diceros bicornis minor, 4804 nucleotides. RefSeq lists it as uncharacterized. NCBI's taxonomy places the organism in Eukaryota, Metazoa, Chordata, Mammalia, Perissodactyla, Rhinocerotidae. The transcript is spliced from 12 exons. The record is from RefSeq and is a predicted model, not a curated record.